Cucumis sativus (cucumber) is the source of this 1619-nucleotide long non-coding RNA. RefSeq lists it as uncharacterized. The record is from RefSeq and is a predicted model, not a curated record. Lineage: Eukaryota; Viridiplantae; Streptophyta; Magnoliopsida; Cucurbitales; Cucurbitaceae. The transcript is spliced from 3 exons.
GACCAUUUCUCUCUUUCUAUGUUAAUUAUUUUUAAAUAUUUAUUUUUAAUUCGUUUGUCUUUCCCUUCCCUUUCUUAAAAUUAAAUAUGAAACUGUGAAGGGACAAAUUGUUUGAAUCUAUAAACGUAUACAAUUUGUAAAUAAUGGAGUUUCAAGUAAUUUUUUUAUAAAAUAAAGAUAUUUUGCUAUAUAUUGUAAUAGAAGAUAUAGUUUUCAUUUCCCAUGAACAAAAUGUAAAAAUAAUUAUGAGGAAAAAACACUAGAAAUUAUGGAAUUUUGACCUAUCUCUUUGUGGUGCCAAUGUGAUUAAAGAUGAAGAUGAAUCGUUUUAUAUUUUAAAUAAAAAGAUUUUAGAUUUAUUUAGUAUUAUUUAAUGUGGACAAUGACAAUUACUUUUACUUUUAUUAUACAUUUUCGUUGUCAACCUUUUCAAAGUCUAAAUCUUACACAAAACCAAAGUUAACCCUUCCUAUUACUUAAUAGAAACCACCAAACAUUAUAAAAUAUAAUUAGAAGUAUAGUUUGCAUUAAGAGAUAUUAGGCUUAUCAGUAACUUAUGAGGGCAUUCGUGACAUUUUAUCUUUUGUAUAUGUGAGUUGGAUUUUGUUUUAUCAUUUUUACAAACAAUAAAUGUGUGCGUACUCCGUGCUCUAUAAAUAUUUUGAUUGAUUUUUGUUAAAUUUGAAAAUGACACCUAAAAAAAAAGUUUAAGAAUACUUUAUAGAAAUUAUAAAAACUUAAAAAAGCGAAUGAAGGACCAUUAUGCGAGUAGUUGAAAACUAAUGGAUAUAAUAUAAAUAAAUGAGGCCACAUUGAUUAUAAGCCCAAAUAUUUCCUAACCCAAAUGUUGGGAGGUGAAGCCGAAAAAAAAAAAAAGAGGAUUCUGUCACCUCCACCAUCGCUGAGAUCAGUUGCGAAUUACUAUCUUUGUCAAUCAAGUCGAAUUUUCAUGGUCGGCUAGUCACGUAAGUGGCCGGUUCUUGUGGUGACGAUAUGGAUUGAUGCAUUCACCGACACCAAGUUCGAUUUCUCGGCCUACUCUUCUAAACUGAAAUCGAUAUUAGAAAAUGAUUAAAUAUCAUUCGUAUUGGAUUUGUUGGCCUUACAAAUAGAUUCACACUAUCACUUAUUCCUCAUCCAACAAAAGAAAGGAUGACUCUGUCGUCAAUGAUCCAACUUCUACUAGGAAACGAUCGAGCAUUUGCCGUCAGAUCCACCUCCCUAGUAGGACCGAUUAGACGUUUUUGUUGUCAGCAAUCCAACAUCUUCUAGAGGACAAUCAGACAUUUUUGCCAAUCCACCUCCCUAUUAAGAGCGUUCAGACAUUUUUACUGUCAGUAAUUCAACUUCUUCUAGGGAACAAUCAGACAUUUUUGCCGUCAGCGAUCCAAUUUCUUUUAGGGGACGAUCAGACUUUUGCCUUUUAGGGGACGAUCAGACUUUUGCCGUCAGAUCCACCUCUCUACUAGGAGUGAUCAGACAUCUCGGUUCUGCUUCGUCAUAAGCAAUUGAGCUUAUUCGUUCUUUUUUUUCUUUUUUUCUUUCUUUUAUUGUUUUUUUUCUUUUUUUCUUUCUUUUUUUCUUUCUUUUAUUGUUUUUUUUAUUGUUUUUUUCUUUUU